Molecule: unclassified non-coding RNA, 202 nt
Filed under: Hevea brasiliensis (rubber tree)
Lineage: Eukaryota; Viridiplantae; Streptophyta; Magnoliopsida; Malpighiales; Euphorbiaceae
Source: RNAcentral
GUCCUAUAUAGAGAGAAACACGGAUUACAGAUGCUCUGGGCAUGGGGAAAUUGCAAGGACAGAGACUGCCAGUGCAGAACCAGAACGGCGAUGGAGUUGGUUCUACAACUUUCUGUCAGAGAUGUUCGAUGGGUUUUUCAAGAAUCGGCUUACAAUUUAGUUUCAGGUGUAUCGCCGUUUUGCUACUGAGUAUUGCCCUUUU